AGUGAACGCUGGCGGUAGGCCUAACACAUGCAAGUCGAACGGCAGCACAGUAAGAGCUUGCUCUUACGGGUGGCGAGUGGCGGACGGGUGAGGAAUACAUCGGAAUCUACUUUUUCGUGGGGGAUAACGUAGGGAAACUUACGCUAAUACCGCAUACGACCUACGGGUGAAAGCAGGGGAUCUUCGGACCUUGCGCGAUUGAAUGAGCCGAUGUCGGAGUAGCUAGUUGGCGGGGUAAAGGCCCACCAAGUCGACGAUCCGUAGCUGGUCUGAGAGGAUGAUCAGCCACAUUGGAAGUUAGACACGGUCCAGACUCCUACGGGAGGGAGCAGUGUGGAACAUUGGACAAUGGGCGCAAGCCUGAUCCAGCCAUCCCGCGUGGGUGAAGAAGGCCUUGGGUUUGUAAAGCCGGUUUGUUGGUAAAAAACAGCAGCAGGUUAAUACCCCGCUGUUCUGACGGUACCCAAAGAAUAAGCACCGGCUAACUUCGUG
This 492-nucleotide ribosomal RNA is filed under the name uncultured bacterium. RNAcentral describes it as "partial 16S ribosomal RNA". It matches the Rfam family "Bacterial small subunit ribosomal RNA", at positions 29 to 507 of the family's 1533-position model. The record is from RNAcentral.